Molecule: transfer RNA, 62 nt
Filed under: Myotis davidii
Lineage: Eukaryota; Metazoa; Chordata; Mammalia; Chiroptera; Vespertilionidae
Rfam family: tRNA
About the family: Transfer RNA (tRNA) molecules are approximately 80 nucleotides in length. Their secondary structure includes four short double-helical elements and three loops (D, anti-codon, and T loops). Further hydrogen bonds mediate the characteristic L-shaped molecular structure. tRNAs have two regions of fundamental functional importance: the anti-codon, which is responsible for specific mRNA codon recognition, and the 3' end, to which the tRNAs corresponding amino acid is attached (by aminoacyl-tRNA synthetases). tRNAs cope with the degeneracy of the genetic code in two manners: having more than one tRNA (with a specific anti-codon) for a particular amino acid; and 'wobble' base-pairing, i.e. permitting non-standard base-pairing at the 3rd anti-codon position.
Source: Rfam by way of RNAcentral
ACUUAGCUCAGUUGGUUAGAGCAUUGGCCUGAUAAGCCAAAGUUGCAGGUUCAAUCCCCAGU